Bacteroides nordii CL02T12C05 is the source of this 97-nucleotide non-coding RNA. The record is from Rfam. NCBI's taxonomy places the organism in Bacteria, Pseudomonadati, Bacteroidota, Bacteroidia, Bacteroidales, Bacteroidaceae.
GAGAGCCGGAUACGCUGAAAGGUGUAAGUCCGGUUCGGGGGCGAGCAUUUGGAAACCUACCAUAGAAAUAUGACAAGGCGCUGGGUGCUUAGCCUAC